AUUGAACGCUGGCGGCAUGCCUUACACAUGCAAGUCGAACGGUAACAGGUCUUCGGAUGCUGACGAGUGGCGAACGGGUGAGUAAUACAUCGGAACGUGCCUAGUAGUGGGGGAUAACUACUCGAAAGAGUGGCUAAUACCGCAUGAGAUCUACGGAUGAAAGCAGGGGAUCGCAAGACCUUGUGCUACUAGAGCGGCCGAUGGCAGAUUAGGUAGUUGGUGGGAUAAAAGCUUACCAAGCCGACGAUCUGUAGCUGGUCUGAGAGGACGAUCAGCCGGACUGGGACUGGGACACGGCCCAGACUCCUACGGGAGGCAGCAGUGGGGAAUUUUGGACAAUGGGCGCAAGCCUGAUCCAGCAAUGCCGCGUGCAGGAUGAAGGCCUUCGGGUUGUAAACUGCUUUUGUACGGAACGAAAAGCCCCGGGUUAAUACCCUGGGGUCAUGACGGUACCGUAAGAAUAAGCACCGGCUAACUACGUGCCAGCCGCCGCGGUAA
Molecule: ribosomal RNA, 498 nt
Filed under: uncultured bacterium
Lineage: Bacteria
Description: partial 16S ribosomal RNA
Rfam family: Bacterial small subunit ribosomal RNA
Source: RNAcentral